GCUCGUAUUCUGUGUAUUUUUCCAUUUCGUAUAGAUUUUUAAUUUAAAACAACCUGGCCGAAGGUAAGCCUGAGCACCUGUGACCAGGAAAAUGCCCUCGAAAGGCCAUUAGUUGUUUGUCCUGGACCCAGCCUAAUGUCCUCUUGUCAAAGUCCAACCUCAGACAGAGGCAGGACACUCACACUUGCAGCACAGGGACACUGAGCGGAAAUUCUACAAACAUUAUCAAUUAUUUGAUUUAAUAAAAGAUAGAAUGAGAAAACUAUGUAAAAGCCAGUUUUAUUAGAGUUUGAUGGAAUUGUUAAAUAAACCUAUAUAGAUAUUAAAGUGACGAUGCCUUUGAUAAGUAUGCAUAAUAAUAAUGGAAU
Non-coding RNA from Drosophila melanogaster (fruit fly), 368 nucleotides. Lineage: Eukaryota; Metazoa; Arthropoda; Insecta; Diptera; Drosophilidae. The record is from Ensembl.